This 207-nucleotide ribosomal RNA is filed under the name uncultured bacterium. RNAcentral's name for it is "partial 16S ribosomal RNA". It matches the Rfam family "Bacterial small subunit ribosomal RNA", at positions 568 to 774 of the family's 1533-position model. The record is from RNAcentral.
CAUCUAGGCGGUCAAUCAAGUCGAAGGUGAAAACUUGUGGCUCAACCAUAAGCUUGCCUACGAAACUGAUUAACUAGAGUACUGGAGAGGUGGACGGAACUACACGAGUAGAGGUGAAAUUCGUAGAUAUGUGUAGGAAUGCCGAUGAUGAAGAUAGUUCACUGGACAGAAACUGACGCCGAAGUGCGAAAGCUAGGGGAGCAAACA